UGCACAACUUACCCCCAUUCGUUGAUAGCACAUGAGUGUGAUGAUCCACAACAGACAUUUUUGAUAACAUGACUUUCGAGAUUUUCAACCAAAUCUGCAAAAUGUGAUAUUGGCGGUCGCAAUUUGAGAGGUUAAAAACAGAUGUAGUUGCAACGAGAUACACAAUACAAUACAACACACGUCAUAUGGUUGAACUCUUCAAUAUUUCACAACAUUGCUGAAGAUUGCUUGGCAUCUACUACAUUUCUAAUUCUUCAAUGACACGGUCAAUACCAAUAUGAAUCGGAUUAAAUGAAUUUCGUGGCAUGGUUAUAUGAAUGAAACGAAGUGAAGUAAAUGAAAAAAAUAAAACUGAAAGCAAAUCGAAUAAAUGACCUAAAUGUCUAAAUUUGCAGCUUUCACCUUGUCUGUGUCAACAAAAAAUUUGCCUGUAUUUUUUUUUGUGUGUCAGAAAAUGUGAUUGAUAUAUAUGAGAGAAAAAGAAAUAAAAAAGAAUGAAACUGAUUGACUGAGAGACUGAUGAAUCUGGAUAAAGAUCGAGGAUUGAUGAAAUGUUGAAAAUAAAUGAUACGGUGUUUACAUACAAAAAAAUGUUGACAUACGUGGACGUUUUCUCGUUUGCUCAUGACCUAACUGUCCAAAAUCAUUGUUGCCACUCGAAUAUACUUUGCCAUUUACUAAAAACAGCGUAUGAACUGGUCCACAAGACACAUGCUCAAUAUCGCAUGCAAGUGACCAGUCAAGCUGUCGUGGUGUUAGAACCUGCAACAAAAAAGUGAAAUUUCAUUGAAUAAAGAAUACCAUAAUCCAAGUGCAAGUAUGUAUUUGUUUAAUUACAUGCUCUUCUUCAAUACCACCGAGGGCAAGUUCACCAUGACUCGUGCUACCCCAACAAUACAAUGUCAUUGUAUCGAUUACGUCGUCUGGACGUGAUUUUCAAGGAAUGUUCGAGAUUUUGCGACAACAAAAGCAAUGUGCAUAUGCCGUAAUUUAAAAUUGUGAUUGAAUCCGUUCGGUUUAGUUUUACUUUGUUGCCAGUGGAUCAGCCUGAAUGCAAAACAAAUUGGAAAUCAUCAGAUAGGCAUUCGUUUUGAAUAGAUAACAAAUAUACAAAAUUUAUAAACAAUUCUUUUACAUUAAAUUCAAUCGAGCUGCGUAUGGUCAACGAAAAUGUAAUGUUCCGUAGUAAUUUGUCGGAUGCUUUUCGAAAUGAAUAAUAAAAACAUUUGAGAUUUCCGUCGGUUGGAGCACACAACGCCAGAACCAGUAAAGAAAAACAAAAGAAAAAACGAAAUGAAAAAUAAAACAAUAAUGCAAUUUCAACAACUCUUUUCCGCACAAACUAUUUGUCAGUUUAUUCUAGCGCUUUCCAAAUGUCAUACACAAUUGACAUUCCACAUUCGUGUGCGCCAUCUAUUGGGCAUCGUUUACAAUGUUGGCGUCCUUAACCGCCAGAUUUUCAAAAUAGGCAAUCAGAAUCGAAAUUACCUAGAAGCUCCUCGGGAAAUACAAAUCACAUCACGACGAUGUGGCUAUUUUCAACUUUGCAGCCCAAAAUCACACAGCGAUAGCAGCAUAUUGGCUAUUUUUGUUUUUAUGUCGCACCGCGACAUACAUUUCCCUCGAUGCUAAAUCCGAAACGAAAGUCAAAAAAAUUCCGUUACCUUACAUUCUUUAUCCACAUGAACUAAUAAGAAUGCGUUUUCCUUGGCCUACCCGUUUUUUUUCGGUUUCUAAUUUGCGUAGCCAAACGUGUGCUACACACAAAAAUCACAUCUGAAUUCGAGAAAAAUCAUCGGAUUGCGGUGGCUGUUUUCGUAUCAAAAUUCAAAAGAUGCGAUUCAGAGAAACGAGAGAUGAGUCUGUAGCUAUUAUUCAUUGAUUGAAAUACAAAAUGAUGAUAAAUUGUAAUUUGCAAGAUUACAAUUUAAAAACACAUUGUUCAAGGUAAUUUCCCACAAUUUUGUUUUCGUGUCAGCAUCAACCGUUUUUAUUAAAUACGAUAACGGGCCAAUAACAAACUAGAAUAAAUUGCGACAAUGAAUGACAUGAUUGUUUUUCUUAAUGGAAAAUAUUGAGGCAAAUUUGUGGCAGACAAUUUGUUUGUUUCUGUUGAAUAAGUUCGAUGAAAAAAAAAAAUCUACUGUAUUAAAAAUGUAUUCCUUAACAAUUAGUUAUAGAAAGUAAAUAAGUGUUGUGAUUGUGCAAUGACCAUUGUGAGUUGAGUGCCCACUAUGUCUAUCUCUCUUUCUCUCUCUCUCUCUCUUCUUUCUCUGUAUACCAAGUUCAAGAUUGAAAAUUUAGUGGUUGCAUCUUUUUUAUUUGUUUGUUUUUUUUUUUUUUUUUGGUUUGUUUUGUGUUUUAUUAAUUUCUAUUGUCUGCCGUAAGUUCGUAGUCCUAUAAAAUACCACAUAAUUCGAUGUUGUUAUUAUUUUUGUUUUGUUUUAAAGAAAAUUAUAGGCGGCUUUGUUUCUCUUUUCUUUAUUGAAAAAAAAAAUAAAAAAAGAUUUUUAAGCGGCUUCUUCUUCUUCUCCUUCUUCUUUGCCGGUCAACAUUUCGAUAAGGGCGGCGGUAUCAAUCAUGUUUUUGUCGUCGAUGAUCAUUUGAUCGUAGGCAUCAUCAACUUCGGUUUGUGAGAACCUCUCACCGAAUGAAGUCAACAAGUGACGCAAUUUAUCACCGUCGAUCACACCAUUUUCAUCGAACUUUUUGAAUGCGUCGAUAACAACAUCAUCGUCG
Molecule: long non-coding RNA, 2739 nt
Organism: Sitodiplosis mosellana (orange wheat blossom midge)
Lineage: Eukaryota; Metazoa; Arthropoda; Insecta; Diptera; Cecidomyiidae
Exons: 2
Source: RefSeq, a predicted model, not a curated record